Non-coding RNA from Pelobates cultripes (western spadefoot toad), 219 nucleotides. NCBI's taxonomy places the organism in Eukaryota, Metazoa, Chordata, Amphibia, Anura, Pelobatidae. The record is from the annotation of a GenBank genome assembly.
UCCCAGUAAUGUGUCUGAGUGUAUAACAGCAAUAAUACUCCCAGUAAUGUGCCUGAGUGUAUAACAGAGCUCCACAGUAAUAAUACUCCCAGUAAUGUGUCCGAGUGUAUAACAGAGCUCCACGGCAAUAAUACUCCAAGUAAUGUGUAUGAGUUUAUAACAGAGCUCCACAGCAAUAAUACUCCCAGUAAUGUGUAUGAGUGUAUAACAGAGCUCCAC